This 253-nucleotide ribosomal RNA is filed under the name uncultured Gemmatimonas sp. RNAcentral's name for it is "partial 16S ribosomal RNA". It matches the Rfam family "Bacterial small subunit ribosomal RNA", at positions 524 to 776 of the family's 1533-position model. Lineage: Bacteria; Pseudomonadati; Gemmatimonadota; Gemmatimonadia; Gemmatimonadales; Gemmatimonadaceae. The record is from RNAcentral.
UACAGAGGGUGCGAGCGUUGUCCGGAAUCACUGGGCGUAAAGGGCGCGUAGGUGGCUUGGUAAGCGUGUGGUGAAAGUCCGGGGCUCAACCCCGGAUCGGCCAUGCGAACUGCCGAGCUCGAGCGAUGUAGAGGCAGGUGGAAUUUCGGGUGUAGCGGUGGAAUGCGUAGAUAUCCGAAAGAACACCGGUGGCGAAGGCGGCCUGCUGGGCAUCCGCUGACACUGAGGCGCGACAGCGUGGGGAGCAAACAGG